CCCGCCGAACCCUUCUCCUUCACUUGAAACCCAACAAAACAAGCCUCCACCUCUCUCAAAUUUCUUCAAAUCUCAUCUCAAAUCCAGUGAAUGUCUCCCCUAUUGACUCUUUAGGAUUGAAAUCACUUAUUUUUGAAGCUUCUCUCAAGCCCUAAAACCCUUUCCUCAUCCAGUGAAAAUUGUUGUUUCUUCUUCUUCUCACCUCAAAGCUCCUUCCAUCAAUUUUCUUCAAUUAUCCAACAUUCCCUACCCUUCUUAGCCGAGUCAAGCUCUCUAUCCUCUCAUGGCACUGAGAAUGGAUCUCCCUCAAU
Molecule: long non-coding RNA, 311 nt
Filed under: Elaeis guineensis (African oil palm)
Lineage: Eukaryota; Viridiplantae; Streptophyta; Magnoliopsida; Arecales; Arecaceae
Description: long non-coding RNA (EGUI_LNC076578)
Source: RNAcentral